GGGGAUAUAUAUCGUUAUGGAGGCGAACAAGACUGUAAAUCUUGUCUUAUAGGGUCUGUGGGUUCGAUUCCCUCUAUCCCCACCA
RNAcentral lists this transfer RNA (85 nucleotides) under Gammaproteobacteria bacterium. RNAcentral describes it as "tRNA-Tyr". It matches the Rfam family "tRNA". From Rfam's summary of the family: Transfer RNA (tRNA) molecules are approximately 80 nucleotides in length. Their secondary structure includes four short double-helical elements and three loops (D, anti-codon, and T loops). Lineage: Bacteria; Pseudomonadati; Pseudomonadota; Gammaproteobacteria. RNAcentral also lists the same sequence under 1 other name. The record is from RNAcentral.